This 349-nucleotide ribosomal RNA is filed under the name uncultured bacterium. RNAcentral describes it as "bacterial SSU rRNA". It matches the Rfam family "Bacterial small subunit ribosomal RNA", at positions 396 to 736 of the family's 1533-position model. The record is from RNAcentral.
GCCGCGUGAGGGAUGAAGGCCUUCGGGUCGUAAACCUCUGUCAGAGGGGAAGAACCGUCUGUGGGAUAAUACCCCGCAGGCCUGACGGUACCCUCAAAGGAAGCACCGGCUAACUCCGUGCCAGCAGCCGCGGUAAUACGGAGGGUGCAAGCGUUGUUCGGAAUUAUUGGGCGUAAAGCGCGCGCAGGCGGCUGCGCAAGUCUGAUGUGAAAGCCCCGGGCUCAACCUGGGAAGUGCAUCGGAAACUGCGUAGCUUGAGUACGGGAGAGGGAAGCGGAAUUCCGAGUGUAGGGGUGAAAUCCGUAGAUAUUCGGAAGAACACCAGUGGCGAAGGCGGCUUCCUGGACCG